CCUACGGGUGGCUGCAGUGGGGAAUAUUGGACAAUGGGGGGAACCCUGAUCCAGCCAUGCCGCGUGUGUGAAGAAGGCCCUCGGGUUGUAAAGCACUUUCAGUGAGGAAGAACGCCUGGUGGUUAAUACCCAUCAGGAAAGACAUCACUCACAGAAGAAGCACCGGCUAACUCCGUGCCAGCAGCCGCGGUAAUACGGAGGGUGCGAGCGUUAAUCGGAAUUACUGGGCGUAAAGCGCGCGUAGGUGGCUUGAUAAGCCGGUUGUGAAAGCCCCGGGCUCAACCUGGGAACGGCAUCCGGAACUGUCAAGCUAGAGUGCAGGAGAGGAAGGUAGAAUUCCCGGUGUAGCGGUGAAAUGCGUAGAGAUCGGGAGGAAUACCAGUGGUGAAGGCGGCCUUCUGGACUGACACUGACACUGAGGUGCGAAAGCGUGGGUAGCAAACAGGAUUAGAUACCCUAGUAGUC
RNAcentral lists this ribosomal RNA (465 nucleotides) under Vreelandella stevensii. Its description in RNAcentral is "partial 16S ribosomal RNA". It matches the Rfam family "Bacterial small subunit ribosomal RNA", at positions 338 to 795 of the family's 1533-position model. Lineage: Bacteria; Pseudomonadati; Pseudomonadota; Gammaproteobacteria; Oceanospirillales; Halomonadaceae. The record is from RNAcentral.